Molecule: ribosomal RNA, 229 nt
Filed under: uncultured bacterium
Lineage: Bacteria
Description: partial 16S ribosomal RNA
Rfam family: Bacterial small subunit ribosomal RNA
Source: RNAcentral
CGCGCAGGCGGUCUUGUCCGUCUGGUGUGAAAGCUCGGGGCUCAACCCCGGAAGUGCACUUGAAACAGCAAGACUUGAAUACGGGAGAGGAGAGAGGAAUUCCUGGUGUAGAGGUGAAAUUCGUAGAUAUCAGGAGGAACACCGAUGGCGAAGGCAUCUCUCUGGACCGAUAUUGACGCUGAGGCGCGAAGGCGUGGGUAGCAAACAGGAUUAGAUACCCUGGUAGUCC